This is a non-coding RNA of Nelumbo nucifera (sacred lotus), 6151 nucleotides long. NCBI's taxonomy places the organism in Eukaryota, Viridiplantae, Streptophyta, Magnoliopsida, Proteales, Nelumbonaceae. The record is from RefSeq and is a predicted model, not a curated record.
CAUAUUAUGGUGGUUUACAAGAAAAAAAAAAUGGUAUAGUGUGAAGUUUUUAAUUUUUUAGGGGUUUUAAUAUGAGCAACCGCUCUUUGUACCUUAUAAAAUAUUUAAAAAAAACUGCACUUUGUCCAAACGGUUCAACACUCAAGGGAAUCUCGGUGGAAGUCUAACCAAUUUCUACAUGCUCUUUCGUUCCAAAUACGCCCAACAACUGGAUUCCAACACUUCAACACGCAAGGGAAACUCGGUGGAAAGUCUACCAAUUUCCAGAAGUUCUACGUAUAUCUCAGUUCCCAGCCCUUUAAUUUCAAAUACGCACAAAAACUGGAUGCACUUCUAGCCUUCUAUCAUGGCUGCUGCUAUAUCUCUGCUUUUCCUAUUUCUUAUCUUUUUCACACUGACAGCUGCUCAGCAAACAUCAUCCAAAAUCAGCUUAGGUUCCUCUCUCUCCCCCACUACCAACUCUUCAUGGCUGUCCCCGUCCGGCCAGUUUGCAUUUGGGUUUUAUCAAUACGCCAAUGGCUACGCAGUUGGUAUUUGGUUUGCCAAAAUCCCUACAAAAACAGUGAUUUGGACAGCAAACCGAGACGACCCACCACUGCAACAGGACUCUAGACUGGUCUUGACCAGAGACGGAAGGCUCAUCCUGCAAACCACGGCAUCCCAAUCCACAUCGAUUGCUGAAGCCGCUCAAUCCGCUUCUUGGGCUUCUAUGCUCGACACCGGCAACUUCGUUCUCUGUAAUUCUAGUGGAAACAUCAUAUGGCAGAGUUUUGAUUUCCCAACAGACACCAUUUUACCAGGUCAGCCUCUGCUGGUGGAAGGGAAACUGGUUUCUAGCACUUCAGAGACCAAUCACUCGUCCGGAUGGUUUUACAUUAUAAUGCAGUCAGACGGAAACCUUGUGCAGUAUCCAAUGCAAAAUGCUAAGGCAGAGACUUCUUAUUAUGCUUCCGAUACAUGUUGCCGACGAGACAACGUGACAUUAAAUUUUACCGAUGAUGGUGCUCUCAACUUGUAUAAUACCACCGGCAUCAAUAUUAAAAAUCUGUACAACGGUGGAGUCCAGUGUCGCACCAAUGGAUUUAUAUCUUGCCGAUGGACUAUGGAUGUGGAUGGGAUCUUCAGGCUGUAUGUUUUGGGUCAGAGCGGCAAUUGGUCGACGUCGGUACAUCUAAACCCCCGUAGCUGUCCUACAGGGAUGUGCGGUCUAAAUGGGUAUUGUGUCGUCAUGGAUCAACAAUAUACUUGCAGAUGUAUUCCUGGCUUGGAUUUCAUUGACCAGAGCCAACAGAUCUUGGGCUGUCAGAGAAUUAAUGGCACAGACAGUUGCAGAAACAGUAAACAACAUCCCCAAUUCACCAUGUCCACACUGAAUAAUGUCCAAUGGGAAGACAACGGAUAUGAACUUCUACCGUCCAAGACAGAAGAAGAUUGCAUACAGGCUUGCUGGCAAGACUGUAACUGCGGAGUUGCUCUAUUUUGGGACCAACGGUGCAGCAAGCAGAAGCUUCCGUUGAGGUAUGGGAGAAGAAACGACAAUGACCAGACCAAAACUUUCAUCAAGAUGGUUAUUGGUUCUGGUCCUUCUGGAACCCAAAUGAACACAAAUUCCAUGGAAGCAGGAAGCAAGCCCAAGGAGUUGAGGAAGGAUAUCUUAUUUAUUAUAAUUGCAAUUACUGGUUGUGCCCUUUUAGUUGUCGCACUUUUUGCCAUUUUUGUUCAGAGGAAUCGCUUUAGGUCAUACAGAAAGAUGAUGACGGAUCGAGGAAUUAGAAACUUCAAUGAUGAGGACAUAACACUCCGAUCGUUUACUUAUGCUGAGCUCGAACGAGUCACAGCAGGUUUCAAUCAAGAAUUGGGUAAAGGAGCUUGCGGCACCGUGUUCAAAGGAGUUUUACCAAAUGGUCAGGAUGCUGCAGUCAAGAGAUUGCAUAAAGUAAUAGAUGAAGGAGAACAAGAAUUUCGAACUGAGAUGAGAGUUAUUGGUAGAACCCAUCACAGAAACCUAGUCCGAUUGCUCGGUUAUUGCAAUGAAGGCCUUAAUAGGCUUCUAGUGUACGAGUACAUGAGCAAUGGAUCACUUGCAGACUUUCUCUUCAAAUCUGAAACCCAACCAACUUGGGAUGAAAGAGUGGGAAUUGCUUUGAAUAUAGCCAAAGGUAUCCUGUAUCUACACGAAGAAUGCGAGACUCAGAUUAUCGACUGCGACAUAAAGCCACAGAACAUACUCAUGGGCCACCAUCAAUGCCCAAAGAUUGCAGACUUUGGAUUGGCAAGGCUGUUGAAGCAAGACCAAACAGGGAUAUUGACAGGCAUAAAGGGCACAAGGGGCUAUGUGGCACCAUAGUGGCAUCGAAUUAACAUGCCUAUAACUGUGAAGGUGGACAUUUAUGGCUUCGGGGUUGUGUUGCUGGAGAUAAUCUGCUGCCGAAGGAGUGUCGACGUGAAUCUUCCCGAGGAUCAAGUUGUUGUGGAUUGGGUUUAUGACUGUUUCGAAGCUGGUGAGGUAGGGAUGCUGGUAGGUGAUGAAGUGGUGGAUACGAGAAGUUUAGAGAGGAUGAUUUGGCUGGGACUGUGGUGCAUCCAAGAUGAGCCAUCAAUUCGUCCCUCCAUGAAGAGGUGGUCAUGGUGUUGGAAGGGAAUGCAGAGGUAGCAGUUCCCCCUGGUCCUUCUCUAAGUAACAUCUAUGAAUACGGAUAGUUAUUAAAUAGUUAAUAAAGUGAUUAACGAUUGGUGAAGUUUUUCUUGUCUUGCUCCUAAUAGCUUAAUUUAAUUUCUUGGUCAUCUUUUUCUUUCCUUUCCCUCUUUCCCCUUUUGUCAUCUCCUUCAUUGGUGUCCUAGUUUCCUAGAAAAACAUUUUUUUUUUUUCGAUUAUUAUUAAAAGUUCGAUUAUAAGGGAUCAAUUCAUCGUGUUUGGAAUACAAAUUGUGCAUGGAGUUAACAGUCCAAAGAUAGAGGUUGUGUUUGUUAUCCUUGCGCAGUUCUUGAACUCUGUUUUUGUUGAGCUCACAUCAUCCACUUUGUAUAAAGUUUUCUGCAUCGGUCUGCAUCGGCCAAUUAGAAUUCAUUUCAUCACUUAUAUAAUUUUAAGACUAACAGACACUAACGAGUUAAAAGUUAAUGGGCGUCAGGACUCUGAAUGAUUUUAAUAUUUGUCAAAAAUUAAAAUCCGCCUAAUGGAUGUCACACAGUUAUUUGGUGCUCACUCGUUGUGCUUGCCUAACGUGCCUACUACAUCCUAACCCAUUUUGUCCGGACUCAGAGAACUCUUCUUCUUCCUCUUUCUCUCGUUCUAUGCCUGCCUGCCUCCACUCUCUGUCACGACCUGACGGUUGCUUUGUCGUUACUUUCUCCCUCGGCCUAUACUUUUACUUUCUAUCUCUUUCUCUUUCUCUCUUUGAUCGCUCUCCCUCUUUCCUGUUAUUCUUCUGCAUGGGGACAUUAGCAGUGAUAUGGGUGAUCCAAAACUUGCCAGGUCUUCACGCGUGGUGUACCUUGGUCUUCACGUGUGGUGUACCUUGGUCUUAGACUGCACUGCGUGGUGUACCUUGGUCUUCACGCGUGAAUCCACAGUAGAUGUUACAGAUCUUUAAACUUCUUUGAAGUUUCACACAUUAAGUGAUUAGUUAUUUAUUAUUGAUUUUGUUCAAUAGAUAACUGAAACAGAUAAGAUAAAAUAAGUAUAUAAACCUCCCUCAAUAGCACAGAAGGCAAAAACAGGCCUAGAAGAGGAUACCAUCAAAAACAGAAUUAAGCAAUAAACAAAACACGAGAACCUAUACAAACUACUCUAGGAGUAGGGCCCCAGUAUAACUCUAAUCUCUCAACUCCUCACUGAUGGAUCAUCCAGGAAGUUGGCUGAUCCAAGCACCCAGAUCAAUGAUAUUUCACUCUGGCUGCUAAAGAUGUGGCCUCUCUAAUGUGAUUAAGUAAAUACCAGAGCUCUUCAACACCAUCUCUCAUCCACCCUACGACAUUCUGCAAGUCUCCCUCCACCUUAACAUGCCGCCAACACAAAGACAACAUCAAUUGCUGCUCCCAAAGCAUUGCUAAGGUCCCAGCACAUAGAUAUUGAUUCCACUUGUACUAUAGCUUGGGUAAACCCACAUGAUCUCUGUCCAAGAUUGUGAUUUUCAAAAAUGUACUAUUUUAGUUGCUUAAAAUUUCUUAGUGGUACACCAAAAGAAAUGUUGUUACUGGCCAAAAAAAGCCCAUACCUAACCCAUCGCAUUCUUUUGAACAUGCUAUUCAUUUUUUAAUUAUAAUUUUAUUGCCAAAAGGCAGCAGUUCAUGAUGCAGCUAGAUGGGUAAUAUUAAACUGGAAACAUCAGGAUAGAGAUAAUGAUAUGGACAGUAGCAGAUUUAGGAAAACCCCCCUCUUUCAAUGCAUCUAUGCUUUGAACCCUUGACCAAUCCUUGCAUUCCUUUCUUGUCAUACAACCCAGAACAUUGCUUAUGGAAUCAUUUUCCAAAUUGCAUUUCCUUUCUUACUCAGUCCUUUGAUCUGUCAGCCUUUCAAAAUGGUUUCAAUAGAUGCUGGACAACAUCCCUUGAGAGUAAAUAUCUUUACAACUUUCACCCGAAUCAAACAUCAUUCCUCUAAUUAACAGGUUGUCCUUAGCGAGUAUCUUAUUCAGAUAGGCAGACCAGACGAAGAAAGCUACCUUUGAGAUUCACCUACAACCACCACACUUCCAACCCAACAUCAUUCUCUCUACAAGGUGUUCGUAGGAAAUUAUACAUUGGAGAAAGUAGUUCACCACAAAAGAAAGCCAAGUAAAUUUCCAUGGUCUAAGCAAUUCCAAGCAGCAUUUGAGAGCAUGGGAUACCUUUUUGGAAGGCUAUGUUAUUCUUGGAAGGUAUAGAACUUAGCUUUCAGCCCACGUGUCGACACAGCUGUGCAAUGAAUUUUCUAGCAUGUAUUUUAAUUACGACAAACACAGCUUGAAUAGUUAAUUAAACUCAUAAACUUAAGAGCUCUACAUUCUGAAAUUUUGAAUCACUAUUUAUACUACAUACGUGGUUGACAGUAUGACUAAACAAGUAGACUAUUUUAUGAUUUUAUUCAAAUUAUUAUUUUUUCCCACCCUUAUUUAUACGUUUUUUUUUUUUUUUAAUAUUUUACCUUCCACUUGCCCUUGUACUCUCCGCUAGUACAUAUAUUAUUUCCUUCUAACCUCUACCUUUUUUUUUGACCGUUGGGGUAUGGCCAACACCCAUGUGAUCUGAAAAGCCGUUACAGUACAACUUCUACAGUUAGUUGGGUUUUAUUGGAACGAUCCCGAUACAACGUCUAGACUGGGCAUUGAAAGAACGUGCGACAAUCAGGGCCUCUGCCUCUAAGAUUGAACCUCGGUUGAAUAAGAAAAUUUUUCAAUACAAGAGGAGAGAGACUUCAUCAAUUUUAAAUGGAUUUUUAUGCAUACAUUUUGUGAAAAAGGUUUGAAGUGUAGGGAUGGCAAACGGGGAGGGUUUGGAAGAGUCAAGUUAAACAAAAGAAAAAUGAAAUAGAGAGUAAGGGUAUGUUUGGUUCGCAGGAAUAGAGGUCCGGAAUCGAAAUUCAAAUAGAUCAUUCCGAUUCCAGCCGUUUGGUUGGUUGGAAUCGGAAUCCGAUUCUCAUUUCAGGCGGAAUGGCAUUCCCCCAUUUGAGGGAAUAGCCAUUCCCGGCCCACCCCCUCGGAAUCGGAUUCCCAUUCCAGCCGGUUAAAACAAAAAAAAUGAAAAUGACAAAAAAACCCCUCAAACCCCCCGAUUCCAGCCUUUCAGGUUUCAAACCCUCUUUCUCUUCUCUCGUCACUCCCUCCAAUCCCUUCUGCAGUUCGCAGCCGAACUCUGAAGAUCCGACUUGAGCUACUCUGGCCAGAUGGCCAGACCACCAAGGCACCAUUUUCGAGUGCAGACAUCAACAUAUGGUUUGUGAAGUCUGAUAGUUUUUUUAUCUAGGUGGUACUUUGUUUGAAGUCUUGUAGUCUAUUUCACUGGUAUGCGCAAAAUAACCUUCCAUGUAGGUUCACAAUUUGUGGUUGCCUCUCUCUAUAUCUAAUGAAAUCCAAUAUCAUACCCUGUAACAUUCAAGAACCAAUGCGUGCUUAGAUCCUUAGUAAAAAGUAAGACCUAAUCAAGAAGAAAUAAUAAAAAUAAGUUCAAGAUA